Molecule: non-coding RNA, 45 nt
Filed under: Schistosoma margrebowiei
Lineage: Eukaryota; Metazoa; Platyhelminthes; Trematoda; Strigeidida; Schistosomatidae
Source: RNAcentral
GUCCAGAUGACGAGUCCCAACCAGGACGAAACGUGCAUCGUGGAU